This 449-nucleotide ribosomal RNA is filed under the name uncultured bacterium. RNAcentral describes it as "bacterial SSU rRNA". It matches the Rfam family "Bacterial small subunit ribosomal RNA", at positions 354 to 796 of the family's 1533-position model. The record is from RNAcentral.
GUGGGGAAUAUUGGGCAAUGGGCGCAAGCCUGACCCAGCCACGCCGCGUGAGUGAUGAAGGCCUUCGGGUCGUAAAGCUCUGUGGGGAGGGACGAAAAAACGAUGGCCAAUAUCCAUUGGACUGACGGUACCUCCUUAGCAAGCACCGGCUAACUCUGUGCCAGCAGCCGCGGUAAUACAGAGGGUGCAAACGUUGCUCGGAAUCAUUGGGCGUAAAGCGCACGUAGGCGGCCUAGCAAGUAGGGAGUGAAAGCCCUCGGCUUAACCGAGGAAGUGCUUUCUAAACUACUAGGCUUGAAUACUGGAGAGGGUCGCGGAAUUCCCGGUGUAGAGGUGAAAUUCGUAGAUAUCGGGAGGAACACCAGUGGCGAAGGCGGCGACCUGGACAGAUAUUGACGCUGAGGUGCGAAAGCGUGGGGAGCAAACAGGAUUAGAAACCCUUGUAGUCC